This 443-nucleotide ribosomal RNA is filed under the name uncultured Saccharofermentans sp. Its description in RNAcentral is "bacterial SSU rRNA". It matches the Rfam family "Bacterial small subunit ribosomal RNA", at positions 338 to 795 of the family's 1533-position model. The record is from RNAcentral. Lineage: Bacteria; Bacillati; Bacillota; Clostridia; Eubacteriales; Oscillospiraceae.
CCUACGGGAGGCUGCAGUGGGGAAUAUUGGGCAAUGGGGGAAACCCUGACCCAGCAACGCCGCGUGAAGGAAGAAGGCCUUCGGGUUGUAAACUUCUUUGAUCAGGGAAGAAACAAAUGACGGUACCUGAAAAACAAGCCACGGCUAACUACGUGCCAGCAGCCGCGGUAAUACGUAGGUGGCAAGCGUUAUCCGGAUUUACUGGGUGUAAAGGGCGUGUAGGCGGUCUCAUAAGUCAGAUGUGAAAUUCCCGGGCUUAACCCGGGCGCUGCAUCUGAAACUGUGGGACUUGAGUACUGGAGAGGAUAGUGGAAUUCCUAGUGUAGCGGUAAAAUGCGUAGAUAUUAGGAGGAACACCGGUGGCGAAGGCGACUAUCUGGACAGUAACUGACGCUGAGGCGCGAAAGCGUGGGGAGCAAACAGGAUUAGAUACCCCGGUAGUC